AGAUGGCGACCGGCGCACGGGUGAGUAACACGUAUCCAACCUGCCGAUAACUCGGGGAUAGCCUUUCGAAAGAAAGAUUAAUACCCGAUGGCAUAAUAGAACCGCAUGGUUUGAUUAUUAAAGAAUUUCGGUUAUCGAUGGGGAUGCGUCCCAUUAGGCAGUUGGUGGGGUAACGGCCCACCAAACCUUCGAUGGAUAGGGGUUCUGAGAGGAAGGUCCCCCACAUUGGAACUGAGACACGGUCCAA
RNAcentral lists this ribosomal RNA (247 nucleotides) under uncultured bacterium. RNAcentral describes it as "partial 16S ribosomal RNA". It matches the Rfam family "Bacterial small subunit ribosomal RNA", at positions 86 to 334 of the family's 1533-position model. The record is from RNAcentral.